UACAGAGGGGGCAAGCGUUGUUCGGAAUUAUUGGGCGUAAAGGGCGCGUAGGCGGCCUGUUAAGUCGAACGUGAAAUCCCCGGGCUCAACCCGGGAACUGCGUCCGAUACUGGCAGGCUUGAAUUCGGGAGAGGGAUGCGGAAUUCCAGGUGUAGCGGUGAAAUGCGUAGAUAUCUGGAGGAACACCGGUGGCGAAGGCGGCAUCCUGGACCGAGAUUGACGCUGAUGCGCGAAAGCCAGGGGAGCAAACGGG
This 253-nucleotide ribosomal RNA is filed under the name uncultured bacterium. RNAcentral's name for it is "partial 16S ribosomal RNA". It matches the Rfam family "Bacterial small subunit ribosomal RNA", at positions 524 to 776 of the family's 1533-position model. The record is from RNAcentral.